GAUGAACGCUAGCGGGAGGCCUAACACAUGCAAGCCGAGCGGUAUUGUUUCUUCGGAAAUGAGAGAGCGGCGUACGGGUGCGUAACACGUGUGCAACCUGCCUUUAUCUGGGGGAUAGCCUUUCGAAAGGAAGAUUAAUACUCCAUAAUAUAUUGAACGGCAUCGUUUAAUAUUGAAAGCUCCGGCGGAUAGAGAUGGGCACGCGCAAGAUUAGCUAGUUGGUGAGGUAACGGCUCACCAAGGCGAUGAUCUUUAGGGGGCCUGAGAGGGUGAUCCCCCACACGGGUACUGAGACACGGACCAGACGCCUACGGGAGGCAGCAGUGAGGAAUAUUGGUCAAUGGGUGCAAGCCUGAACCAGCCAUCCCGCGUGAAGGACGACUGCACUAUGGGUUGUAAACUUCUUUUGGAUAGGGAUAAACCUACCCUCGUGAGGGUAGCUGAAGGUACUAUACGAAUAAGCACCGGCUAACUCCGUG
This 479-nucleotide ribosomal RNA is filed under the name uncultured bacterium. RNAcentral's name for it is "partial 16S ribosomal RNA". It matches the Rfam family "Bacterial small subunit ribosomal RNA", at positions 28 to 507 of the family's 1533-position model. The record is from RNAcentral.